This 201-nucleotide long non-coding RNA is filed under the name Elaeis guineensis (African oil palm). RNAcentral's name for it is "long non-coding RNA (EGUI_LNC002711)". Lineage: Eukaryota; Viridiplantae; Streptophyta; Magnoliopsida; Arecales; Arecaceae. The record is from RNAcentral.
CUCGUCUCUGACGAGAAAUUGAUGAUGAUUCACUGAGGAACACACGGUGGAGAAACAUAGAGAUCGUGUGGCCUCGCCGACGAUUUGAUUGGAGAGUUGGGCAAUGCAUUGAGGAGGGUGGGAGAGGGAUUUAUAGACAUAGAUCUUAGGGCCUCACUGGAGUUUGAACAGGCUUAGAACCCCUCUUCCGAUCAGACUCAG